CCUACGGGAGGCAGCAGUGGGGAAUAUUGGGCAAUGGGCGCAAGCCUGACCCAGCAACGCCGCGUGAAGGAAGAAGGCUUUCGGGUUGUAAACUUCUUUUAAGAGGGAAGAGCAGAAGACGGUACCUCUUGAAUAAGCCACGGCUAACUACGUGCCAGCAGCCGCGGUAAUACGGAGGAUGCGAGCGUUAUCCGGAUUUAUUGGGUUUAAAGGGUGCGUAGGCGGACAGUCAAGUCAGCGGUAAAAAUGCGGUGCUCAACGCCGUACAGCCGUUGAAACUGGCAGUCUUGAGUGGGCGAGAAGUAUGCGGAAUGCGUGGUGUAGCGGUGAAAUGCAUAGAUAUCACGCAGAACUCCGAUUGCGAAGGCAGCAUACCGGCGCCCGACUGACGCUGAGGCACGAAAGCGUGGGUAUCGAACAGGAUUAGAUACCCGAGUAGUC
This 441-nucleotide ribosomal RNA is filed under the name uncultured bacterium. RNAcentral's name for it is "partial 16S ribosomal RNA". It matches the Rfam family "Bacterial small subunit ribosomal RNA", at positions 338 to 795 of the family's 1533-position model. The record is from RNAcentral.